CCUACGGGAGGCAGCAGUAAGGAAUAUUCCUCAAUGGACGAGAGUCUGAACCAGCCAAGUAGCGUGAAGGAUGACUGCUCUCUGGGCUUAAAACUUCUUUUAUAUGGAAGUAAAAUGUUUCACGUAUGGGAUUUUGUCUGUACCAUAUCAAAACGGAUCGCCUAAGCUCGGGACAGCACCCGCGGUAAUACGGAGGAUCCGAGCUUUACCCGGAUCUAUUGGGUUUAAAGUGAGCGUAGGUGGAUUGUUAAGUCAGUUGUGAAAGUUUGCGGCUCAACCGUAAACGUGCAGUUGAAACUGGGAGUCUUGAGUACAGUAGAGGAGAGCGGAAUUCGAGGUGUAGCGGUGAAAUGCGUAGAUAUAAGGAAGAACUCCAGUUGCGAAGGCAGCUCACUGGACUGCAACUGACGCUGAGGCUCGAAAGUGUGGGUAUCAAACAGGAUUAGAUACCCCAGUAGUC
Molecule: ribosomal RNA, 460 nt
Filed under: uncultured bacterium
Lineage: Bacteria
Description: partial 16S ribosomal RNA
Rfam family: Bacterial small subunit ribosomal RNA
Source: RNAcentral